RNAcentral lists this ribosomal RNA (372 nucleotides) under uncultured organism. Its description in RNAcentral is "partial 16S ribosomal RNA". It matches the Rfam family "Bacterial small subunit ribosomal RNA", at positions 527 to 896 of the family's 1533-position model. The record is from RNAcentral.
GAAGGGUGCAAGCGUUACUCGGAAUUACUGGGCGUAAAGCGUGCGUAGGUGGUGGUUUAAGUCUGCUGUGAAAGCCCUGGGCUCAACCUGGGAAUUGCAGUGGAUACUGGGUCACUAGAGUGUGGUAGAGGGAUGCGGAAUUUCCGGUGUAGCAGUGAAAUGCGUAGAGAUCGGAAGGAACAUCCGUGGCGAAGGCGGCAUCCUGGGCCAACACUGACACUGAGGCACGAAAGCGUGGGGGGAGCAAACAGGAUUAGAUACCCUGGUAGUCCACGCCCUAAACGAUGCGAACUGGAUGUUGGGUGCAACUUGGCACCCAGUAUCGAAGCUAACGCGUUAAGUUCGCCGCCUGGGAGUACGGUCGCAAGACUG